Long non-coding RNA from Hyla sarda, 777 nucleotides. RefSeq lists it as uncharacterized. The transcript has 4 exons. NCBI's taxonomy places the organism in Eukaryota, Metazoa, Chordata, Amphibia, Anura, Hylidae. The record is from RefSeq and is a predicted model, not a curated record.
AACCAUUGUCCACCAAAGAGCAGCACUGAGCAGAAAUAACACUGCUCCUGUUCAUUCUCCAUCAGUGAGGGGCCGGUGCUGGACACUGUGUAGGGACGCGGGAAUGCAAAGUCAUACACAUGACUGUGACUGAUGCACUAUCUCCAGGACAUGGAGUAGCAUUUCCGGACCUACAGCAAGACGUUGGAUGAAGGCAUAGCCCCAGAAAUAACACUGGUCCUGUUCAUCAGUGAGGGGCCGGUGCUGGACACUGUGUAGGGACACGGGAAUGCAAAGUCAUGCACAUGACUGUGACUGAUGCACUAUCUCCAGGACAUGGAGUAGCAUUUCCGGACCUACAGCAAGACGUUGGAUGAAGGCAUAGCCCCAGAAAUAACACUGGUCCUGUUCAUCAGUGAGGGGCCGGUGCUGGACACUGUGUAGGGACACGGGAAUGCAAAGUCAUGCACAUGACUGUGACUGAUGCACUAUUUCCAGGACAUGGAGUAGCAUUUCGGGACCUACAGCAAGACGUUGGAUGAAGGCACAGGCCUAGGAAUCAUGCACAUACACAGAAACAUUUGCCCAAAUUCUAGAGGUAACCUCCUUUAGUAUGCCCAGAGGAAGGGCCAUACAGUAGCCAUGGAUUCCCUACAGGUUUCCUCCCCUCUGGAGGUUUUUCCUGUCCUGAGUAUUAGUUACUGUACGCUCUUUGUGAGUGAUGGGAGGUUACAAAAAAUCCCCUACACAAACAUUUUAAUAAAUAAUAAAUAAAGUUCCCCUUUUUUUAAACUGUUC